ACUCCUACGGGAGGCAGCAGUGAGGAAUUUUGCGCAAUGGGGGAAACCCUGACGCAGCAACGCCGCGUGAGUGAUGAAGGCCUUCGGGUCGUAAAGCUCUUUCAAGUGGGAAGAACCUAUAUAAUGUUAAUAUCAUUAUAUACUGACGGUACCACUGAAGGAAGCACCGGCUAACUCCGUGCCAGCAGCCGCGGUAAUACGGGGGGUGCAAGCGUUAUUCGGAAUUAUUGGGCGUAAAGAGCACGUAGGCGGCCUGGUAAGUCAGAUGUGAAAGCCCGGGGCUCAACCCCGGAAGUGCAUUUGAUACUGUCAGGCUUGAGUAUGGGAGAGGGAAGUGGAAUUCCUGGUGUAGAGGUGAAAUUCGUAGAUAUCAGGAGGAACACCGGUGGCGAAGGCGACUUCCUGGACCAAUACUGACGCUGAGGUGCGAAGGCGUGGGGAGCAAACAGGAUUAGAUACCCUGGUAGUCCACGCCGUAAACGAUGAUCACUAGGUGUAGCGGGUAUUGACCCCUGCUGUGCCGCAGCUAACGCAUUAAGCGAUCCGCCUGGGGAGUACGGCCGCAAGAUUAAAACUCAAAGGAAUUGACGG
RNAcentral lists this ribosomal RNA (591 nucleotides) under uncultured bacterium. RNAcentral's name for it is "bacterial SSU rRNA". It matches the Rfam family "Bacterial small subunit ribosomal RNA", at positions 335 to 916 of the family's 1533-position model. The record is from RNAcentral.